AUGCUAACCAUCCACUUUCUACCCCCUCUCACGCCAUCUCUCUCUCUCUUGCUCUCUCUCUCUCACCCUCACCCUCCCUCCCUGUCCCCACAUGUGUUACUAAGCUUUCCGAAAGGGUUCACCGCAUUCCCCCUAUCUGGUGCAGAGACGGGGGACCCAUAUGCAAUCUGCCAUAUUGAACGGGCACUAAGUUGGAUCUAUGAGUACCCUUUAUUUUCUGUGCAGGUCAGUCCAGAUCCAGUGAGAAACCAAAAAAACGACUUUCGAGAGCUGGAAAAUCCACUCGGGUCUCUCGGGCUGGCCAAUGACACAGAGGCUGCUGCCAAGCUGGCCAACGGGACAGAGGCAAUUUUUUUGUGAGUAUGUUUCCCAGAGCCAGCUGCCUCAGCACCAGACUACACUUACUUUCCCUUAUGAUACAUGAGAUAAUCAUCUGGUGUAGUACUGCACUUCAGCUUUGCUUGGCCACAGUGCUGUUCAAACAUGUGUGGAAACCCAGCAGAGUAGGUGUCUAUUUUAACUUGUCUAGUUAAUUAAUGAUCUCAAAGUUUGAAGAGAUGGAGAACUUGAGGAAUUGUUCCAAAAUGCUGGGCUGCAACAAGAUCUCACGGUUUAACCAAUUUUGACUUCAGAUUCUGACGUUAAUCCACAUGUAUCCAAAUGUUAAAUAUUGAAGUGGCUCCAAACAUCAAAUUUCGAAGUUAAGUGUUAAGGUUUGGGAUAGGGUUAAAACAAAAGUGUGUGUCUUCCACUGGGAUUGAACACGCUACCUUCGGAUCCAGAGUCAUGGGAUUACCUCUACUAGUCUUGAUGGUAAUAGCGCUCACAGUUGCCCCUAGUGGCUGUGUUUGAAGGCAUUUCCCAACAUCCUCAAGACAUGGACAGACGUCCAAUUUCGAAGUCAAUCUUGAGCGAUCUAGCUGUCCAAUGACGUGGCCCUGGUCCUUUCUAAGUAGUCUUUCUGUCCAUGUUGUCAUUUGAUUUAUAAGUGCUACUGAUGAAUUUCAUUUCCACAUUUCCUCUCAUUUGAAACAAGUUAAGAUGUUAUGGUCUGUGCAUGCCGUGGUUGUUCAUCGAUAGAUUUCCUGGCAGUUGGCUUCCUUGAAAUUAGGCCCAUGCUAUAGUACCCUAGCGUGCUGCUUGACACAAAAAGUGAUUCUUUCUAAAUUGAAUAAAGUACAAGUUGAACUGCUAAUAAUAUGGAUAAUGCCAUGUAAUUAUACAAUUUAUUACAAUAUUUAUAAAGUUGAAAGGAGAUACUGUAUUAUGCAUUGACAUGAUUAAUACAGGUAUUUGUAUUACAUGCCCAGAUUGCAACAAUAGGCCUACCAUUUUAACAAAUAGAAAAUGCAAAUGUUUUUAUAUACAUGAAUAAUAG
This 1378-nucleotide long non-coding RNA is filed under the name Salmo trutta (river trout). Its description in RNAcentral is "lncRNA (ENSSTUG00000034602.1)". Lineage: Eukaryota; Metazoa; Chordata; Actinopteri; Salmoniformes; Salmonidae. The record is from RNAcentral.